AUUGAACGCUGGCGGCAGGCUUAACACAUGCAAGUCGAGCGGAGCGAGGGUGCUUGCACCUUAGCUUAGCGGCGGACGGGUGAGUAAUGCUUAGGAAUCUGCCUAUUAGUGGGGGACAACAUUCCGAAAGGGAUGCUAAUACCGCAUACGCCCUACGGGGGAAAGCAGGGGAUCUUCGGACCUUGCGCUAAUAGAUGAGCCUAAGUCGGAUUAGCUAGUUGGUGGGGUAAAGGCCUACCAAGGCGACGAUCUGUAGCGGGUCUGAGAGGAUGAUCCGCCACACUGGGACUGAGACACGGCCCAGACUCCUACGGGAGGCAACAGUGGGGAAUAUUGGACAAUGGGGGGAACCCUGAUCCAGCCAUGCCGCGUGUGUGAAGAAGGCCUUAUGGUUGUAAAGCACUUUAAGCGAGGAGGAGGCUCUUUUGGUUAAUACCCAAGAUGAGUGGACGUUACUCGCAGAAUAAGCACCGGCUAACUCUGUGCCAGCAGCCGCCGUAA
Molecule: ribosomal RNA, 501 nt
Filed under: uncultured bacterium
Lineage: Bacteria
Description: partial 16S ribosomal RNA
Rfam family: Bacterial small subunit ribosomal RNA
Source: RNAcentral